RNAcentral lists this ribosomal RNA (893 nucleotides) under uncultured bacterium. RNAcentral's name for it is "bacterial SSU rRNA". It matches the Rfam family "Bacterial small subunit ribosomal RNA", at positions 114 to 1021 of the family's 1533-position model. The record is from RNAcentral.
ACGGCCNGUUACACUACCCCUAUCACAGACAUAACUCCGGGAAACCGGUGCUAAUAUCUGAUGAGGUCGCGAGAUCAAAGCUUCGGCGGAUAGGGAUGAGCCUGCGGCUGAUUAGCUAGUUGGUGAGGUAAUGGCUCACCAAGGCAACGAUCAGUAGCUGGUCUGAGAGGACGAACAGCCACACUGGAACUGAGACACGGUCCAGACUCCUACGGGAGGCAGCAGUGAGGAAUAUUGGUCAAUGGGAGCAAUCCUGAACCAGCAAUGCCGCGUGUGGGAUGACAGGGCUCAGCCUUGUAAACCACUGUCGGAUGGGACGAGAGGGGGCCUUGGGUCCCUGGGACGGUACCAUCAAAGGAAGGGUCGGCUAACUACGUGCCAGCAGCCGCGGUAAUACGUAGGACCCGAGCGUUGUCCGGAUUCACUGGGUAUAAAGGGUGCGUAGGCGGCCUUGUGCGUCAGAGGUGAAAUAUCCGGGCUUAACCCGGAGGGUGCCUUUGAUACGGCAGGGCUUGAGUCCGAGAGAGGGUGAUGGAAUUCCUGGUGUAGCGGUGAAAUGCGUAGAUAUCAGGAGGAACACCGGUGGCGAAGGCGGUCACCUGGCUCGGAACUGACGCUGAGGCACGAAAGCGCGGGGAUCAAACAGGAUUAGAUACCCUGGUAGUCCGCGCCCUAAACGAUGUAUGCUUGGUGUUGGACCUUUCGGGGUUCAGUGCCGUAGGGAAUCUGAUAAGCAUACCACCUGGGGAGUACGAUCGCAAGGUUGAAACUCAAAGGAAUUGACGGGGGCCCGCACAAGCGGUGGAUCAUGUGGUUUAAUUCGAUGCAACGCGAAGAACCUUACCCGGGCUUGAAGUGCAGAAAGUACAGAGAUGAAAGUCGACGGACCCGUU